CAAUAGCGUAUAUUAAAGUUGUUGCAGUUAAAAAGCUCGUAGUCGGACCUCUGGCAGCGGGGGGCGGUCCGCCGCAAGGUGUGCACUGCACCGCGUUGCCAUCCUCUUGAGGACCGCUUGUGCCCUUAAUUGGGUGGGAGCGGGACUCAAGACCUUUACUUUGAAAAAAUUAGAGUGUUCAAAGCAGGCUUACGCUUGAAUACAUUAGCAUGGAAUAAUGGAAUAGGACUUUGGUUCUAUUUUGUUGGUUUCUAGGACCGAAGUAAUGAUUAAUAGGGAUAGUUGGGGGCAUUAGUAUUUAAUUGUCAGAGGUGAAAUUCUUGGAUUUAUGAAAGACUAACAUCUGCGAAAGCAUUUGCCAAGGAUGUUUUCAUUGA
Molecule: ribosomal RNA, 377 nt
Filed under: uncultured eukaryote
Lineage: Eukaryota
Description: partial 18S ribosomal RNA
Rfam family: Eukaryotic small subunit ribosomal RNA
Source: RNAcentral